This 109-nucleotide microRNA precursor is filed under the name Dasypus novemcinctus (nine-banded armadillo). Its description in RNAcentral is "miRNA (ENSDNOG00000030283.2)". The record is from RNAcentral. Lineage: Eukaryota; Metazoa; Chordata; Mammalia; Cingulata; Dasypodidae.
GGACUGAGACCAGCCCACGGCCUCCAUGCUCCUAGUCCCUUCCUUGAAGCCGUCGGAUAAGCCACAUGACGAGCCUCAAGCAAGGGACUUAGAGCUGCUGGCUUCCAGC